AGAGUUUGAUCCUGGCUCAGGACGAACGCUGGCGGCGUGCCUAAUACAUGCAAGUCGAGCGAACAGAAGGGAGCUUGCUCCCGGAUGUUAGCGGCGGACGGGUGAGUAACACGUGGGUAACCUGCCUGUAAGACUGGGAUAACUCCGGGAAACCGGAGCUAAUACCGGAUAGUUCCUUGAACCGCAUGGUUCAAGGAUGAAAGACGGUUUCGGCUGUCACUUACAGAUGGACCCGCGGCGCAUUAGCUAGUUGGUGGGGUAAUGGCUCACCAAGGCGACGAUGCGUAGCCGACCUGAGAGGGUGAUCGGCCACACUGGGACUGAGACACGGCCCAGACUCCUACGGGAGGCAGCAGUAGGGAAUCUUCCGCAAUGGACGAAAGUCUGACGGAGCAACGCCGCGUGAGUGAUGAAGGUUUUCGGAUCGUAAAGCUCUGUUGUUAGGGAAGAACAAGUGCGAGAGUAACUGCUCGCACCUUGACGGUACCUAACCAGA
Molecule: ribosomal RNA, 496 nt
Filed under: Bacillus sp. AKB-2008-4414
Lineage: Bacteria; Bacillati; Bacillota; Bacilli; Caryophanales; Bacillaceae
Also listed under: 1 other name
Description: bacterial SSU rRNA
Rfam family: Bacterial small subunit ribosomal RNA
Source: RNAcentral